GCGGGGAUAGCUCAGUUGGGAGAGCGUCAGACUGAAGAUCUGAAGGUGUCGCGUGUUCGAUCCACGCUCACCGCA
RNAcentral lists this transfer RNA (75 nucleotides) under Nelumbo nucifera (sacred lotus). It matches the Rfam family "tRNA". From Rfam's summary of the family: Transfer RNA (tRNA) molecules are approximately 80 nucleotides in length. Their secondary structure includes four short double-helical elements and three loops (D, anti-codon, and T loops). The record is from Rfam by way of RNAcentral. Lineage: Eukaryota; Viridiplantae; Streptophyta; Magnoliopsida; Proteales; Nelumbonaceae.